GUGGUGUGUGGGUGUGUGUGUGUGUGUGUGUGUGUGUGUGUGUGUGUGUGCUCCAGAUGUGUCAGAACGUCUCCUGACGCAGAGGAACAUUUGAUCAUCUGAUCAGGGCCGACGCCGCUCCUGGUUUAUUUAUUUACGUCUCAUUUCCUUCCGUUCUGCCUGCACGCAUGUGCACACACACACACACACACACACACGCACACACACACACACACAGAAUAUUGCAUUAACGUAAGAGCCUCGCCGUAGACACCGAUGGUGCCGGUUAGACAGCAGCUCAGGGUGUCGUGGCUACAGAAUAAGAGCCCCGUGCAGGGAAAGGAAGAGGAAACACCUGCUGAGGGAGAAGCACCUGAAGCUCUGCGGGAACCAAUCAGCAGAGGGCAGCGGGGGCUCACAGCGAGGACGAGGAGGGGAGGGAGGCGGCAGCGUGGGCUGUGGGGGGCGGGAGGGGGAGAGGUGUCCUCACGGGGGAGGACUGAUGUCAUGCAGCAAUGUGUUGCUUGUACCAUCAGCCUGAUGAGGUUCGACCUGAACACGUCAGUCGGAUUCGUCAAUCUCAAUCAUCUCAUAGUCGCCAAGACAACAGUUUGUCCGUGGGAGGAAAAUCGGCUGCUGUGUUUAUGAGACACUUUAAUGGAAAUAACGGUUGAAAGAGUUGUGACCCCAAUAAAUAUGUAUUAAUGCACAACCCCCCCUCUCUCACCUCCAGCACAAAGUAAACUAAUUAUAAAUGUUAAGGACGGAAACACGAUGUAAAUACUGAUUAUAACAGCUGAUGAAUUCACCCUGAAGUGACUCGGAGUGAUGGCUGCUGGGUAAUGCAUCACAUUUACAAUAGAAGGUGUUCAUAGUUAUAGUAUGUGCAAAGGAAACACAGGAGAAAUAAAGGUGGAUUGUGUUAUGAAAAGCAGACUUGAUUAUUACUAUUAUCAACUCACAUGAAUGAAUUUGUCUCGAGGUGUGAAAACUAAUUCUUCUCAACAUCUUUGUCUCAUUGUCUCAAAAUAACAAUUGUGAUUUUUUCCUGCAGCUCAUUGUUAUUUGUCGCCGCCUGGUUUCCAAAGAUAAGCAAUAAAGCUUUUAGUCGUGAAUAAGAACCUCAGCUCAGCACGACAUCAAAAGACACGUGUCGUCUUCUUUUCCUUUUUUUACGUUAAGUGAAAUAAAAUGCAGUUAUUAUGCAGCUUUUAACUGCUCAUGAAGCUGCUGCUGAUCAGCCUAAAUGCUCGUCAAAGGACCCGAUCCAUCGCCAGAGACCAACCCGGGAAAGUACCGGAGACCCUGAACCCCAGGGGGGCAACCAGAAGCAGAACCAGAACCAGAAGCAGAACCGAAAGGAGCGGACCGUCACACUCCGAUGCAACUAAAGCAGGUUUUCCAUGAGGGAUCCUUCAGUAGGAAACAGAACCGCCUUUGACCACACGGGGCGCCAGAGCCACCGCAUGAGGGCUCCAGCAACCUGCGAUAUUUCAGUAAACACAUAAAGGAAGACAAUAUUUAUUAAGAUGAAACGCGUCGUCCUCUUCAUCAUUUGUUGAAUUCUGUUCUGGUCCGAUCGUCUGUUAGAAUAUGGAUCAUCUCACAAACGAGGACAUCUGAGCGCGCGCACACACACACACACACACACACGCGCACACACACACACAGAUGCAUACUGUAUGUACCACGGAAUUAUGAACCACACCGUGCAUCAAUGUGUGCGCUGGUGUUUGUGUGUCUCUACGUCUCACAUGUCAAGACGCUAUGAAUAAUAUACACCGUGAUGACAGUAUAAAUAAAGCAUUCAGUGUGUGUGUGUGUGUGUGUGUGUGUGUGUGUGUGUGUGUGACACUGACACACAGUUUCUCAAAAGAUGAACAGGUAAACACACACAAGCCCUCCUUUGCAUGCUGGGAGCUCAUCUCCUUAAAGGGGUCGUGCAGUUUGAACGCUCAAAUAGUGAAAUGUUGAUCAUCGAGAGCCGAACUCAUCAAACGGCGACUCAUCGUUCAGGUUUCUUCUCUUUGAUGCUGAUUCGGACGCACGGCCCACAAUGCAAACACAGAAUACCACCGAAUCCCCGAAAGGUCGCCGUGUGAGACCUGAUUCUCAGUCUUUGGCGUCCUCGUGUGUGGUUCGCGUUGGGGGGGGGUGAUGGGGUAAUUGUAACGCCCGUAAUCUGUGGCAUAGCAUCAUGGGACGGAACCUUUUAAGUAAUAAAUAAAUCUCUCUUUUGAUUUCAGAGGGGACACGAAACUCGUCUCUGUGAUCAUCCCCCCGU
This is a long non-coding RNA of Gasterosteus aculeatus aculeatus (three-spined stickleback), 2263 nucleotides long. The record is from Ensembl. NCBI's taxonomy places the organism in Eukaryota, Metazoa, Chordata, Actinopteri, Perciformes, Gasterosteidae.